UGAAGUGUUUGUUGUUUUGUUUGAGAGAGUGCUACAUCGACCAAAUGUUGGAAGAUUCUUGAAUCGAAAUUCGUUAAUGGAAGCUAACAUGCAGAGGAAGAAGAUUGAUAUGAAACAUGAGAGAAUGAAACGUUUUCUGUUUGGUUUUGGGGACUUGAACACCACCAUUGUUUUGUUGAAGAUUUGGAAAUGAAAAAAAA
Molecule: long non-coding RNA, 200 nt
Filed under: Lathyrus oleraceus (garden pea)
Lineage: Eukaryota; Viridiplantae; Streptophyta; Magnoliopsida; Fabales; Fabaceae
Description: Pisum sativum (pea) long non-coding RNA (PSAT_LNC013015)
Source: RNAcentral